CAGCAGCCGCGGGAAUACGGAGGGUGCAAGCGUUAUCCGGAUUUAUUGGGUUUAAAGGGUCCGUAGGCGGAUCUGUAAGUCAGUGGUGAAAUCUCACAGCUUAACUGUGAAACUGCCAUUGAUACUGCAGGUCUUGAGUAAAUUUGAAGUGGCUGGAAUAAGUAGUGUAGCGGUGAAAUGCAUAGAUAUUACUUAGAACACCAAUUGCGAAGGCAGGUCACUAAGAUUUAACUGACGCUGAUGGACGAAAGCGUGGGGAGCGAACAGGAUUAGAUACCCGCGUAGUCCCUGUCUCUUAUAC
RNAcentral lists this ribosomal RNA (301 nucleotides) under uncultured bacterium. RNAcentral's name for it is "partial 16S ribosomal RNA". It matches the Rfam family "Bacterial small subunit ribosomal RNA", at positions 509 to 807 of the family's 1533-position model. The record is from RNAcentral.